GGAGAGGUGGCCGAGCGGUUGAAGGCGCACGCUUGGAAGGCGUGUGGUGGCCCAAAGCUACUCCAGGGUUCGAAUCCCUGCCUCUCCG
RNAcentral lists this transfer RNA (88 nucleotides) under Candidatus Omnitrophota bacterium. RNAcentral describes it as "tRNA-Ser". It matches the Rfam family "tRNA". From Rfam's summary of the family: Transfer RNA (tRNA) molecules are approximately 80 nucleotides in length. Their secondary structure includes four short double-helical elements and three loops (D, anti-codon, and T loops). Further hydrogen bonds mediate the characteristic L-shaped molecular structure. tRNAs have two regions of fundamental functional importance: the anti-codon, which is responsible for specific mRNA codon recognition, and the 3' end, to which the tRNAs corresponding amino acid is attached (by aminoacyl-tRNA synthetases). tRNAs cope with the degeneracy of the genetic code in two manners: having more than one tRNA (with a specific anti-codon) for a particular amino acid; and 'wobble' base-pairing, i.e. permitting non-standard base-pairing at the 3rd anti-codon position. The record is from RNAcentral. Lineage: Bacteria; Pseudomonadati; Candidatus Omnitrophota.